GAAUUGAAGAGUUUGAUCAUGGCUCAGAUUGAACGCUGGCGGCAGGCCUAACACAUGCAAGUCGAACGGUAACAGGAAGAAGCUUGCUUCUUUGCUGACGAGUGGCGGACGGGUGAGUAAUGUCUGGGAAACUGCCUGAUGGAGGGGGAUAACUACUGGAAACGGUAGCUAAUACCGCAUAAUGUCGCAAGACCAAAGAGGGGGACCUUCGGGCCUCUUGCCAUCGGAUGUGCCCAGAUGGGAUUAGCUAGUAGGUGGGGUAACGGCUCACCUAGGCGACGAUCCCUAGCUGGUCUGAGAGGAUGACCAGCCACACUGGAACUGAGACACGGUCCAGACUCCUACGGGAGGCAGCAGUGGGGAAUAUUGCACAAUGGGCGCAAGCCUGAUGCAGCCAUGCCGCGUGUAUGAAGAAGGCCUUCGGGUUGUAAAGUACUUUCAGCGGGGAGGAAGGGAGUAAAGUUAAUACCUUUGCUCAUUGACGUUACCCGCAGAAGAAGCACCGGCUAACUCCGUGCCAGCAGCCGCGGUAAUACGGAGGGUGCAAGCGUUAAUCGGAAUUACUGGGCGUAAAGCGCACGCAGGCGGUUUGUUAAGUCAGAUGUGAAAUCCCCGGGCUCAACCUGGGAACUGCAUCUGAUACUGGCAAGCUUGAGUCUCGUAGAGGGGGGUAGAAUUCCAGGUGUAGCGGUGAAAUGCGUAGAGAUCUGGAGGAAUACCGGUGGCGAAGGCGGCCCCCUGGACGAAGACUGACGCUCAGGUGCGAAAGCGUGGGGAGCAAACAGGAUUAGAUACCCUGGUAGUCCACGCCGUAAACGAUGUCGACUUGGAGGUUGUGCCCUUGAGGCGUGGCUUCCGGAGCUAACGCGUUAAGUCGACCGCCUGGGGAGUACGGCCGCAAGGUUAAAACUCAAAUGAAUUGACGGGGGCCCGCACAAGCGGUGGAGCAUGUGGUUUAAUUCGAUGCAACGCGAAGAACCUUACCUGGUCUUGACAUCCACGGAAGUUUUCAGAGAUGAGAAUGUGCCUUCGGGAACCGUGAGACAGGUGCUGCAUGGCUGUCGUCAGCUCGUGUUGUGAAAUGUUGGGUUAAGUCCCGCAACGAGCGCAACCCUUAUCCUUUGUUGCCAGCGGUCCGGCCGGGAACUCAAAGGAGACUGCCAGUGAUAAACUGGAGGAAGGUGGGGAUGACGUCAAGUCAUCAUGGCCCUUACGACCAGGGCUACACACGUGCUACAAUGGCGCAUACAAAGAGAAGCGACCUCGCGAGAGCAAGCGGACCUCAUAAAGUGCGUCGUAGUCCGGAUUGGAGUCUGCAACUCGACUCCAUGAAGUCGGAAUCGCUAGUAAUCGUGGAUCAGAAUGCCACGGUGAAUACGUUCCCGGGCCUUGUACACACCGCCCGUCACACCAUGGGAGUGGGUUGCAAAAGAAGUAGGUAGCUUAACCUUCGGGAGGGCGCUUACCACUUUGUGAUUCAUGACUGGGGUGAAGUCGUAACAAGGUAACCGUAGGGGAACCUGCGGUUGGAUCACCUCCUUA
RNAcentral lists this ribosomal RNA (1542 nucleotides) under Shigella dysenteriae. RNAcentral's name for it is "bacterial SSU rRNA". It matches the Rfam family "Bacterial small subunit ribosomal RNA". Lineage: Bacteria; Pseudomonadati; Pseudomonadota; Gammaproteobacteria; Enterobacterales; Enterobacteriaceae. The record is from RNAcentral.